CUUGCAAUUCUUGGUUAGCAGCGCGCUGCGACACACAUGGCUCUGCCUCCAUGUCGUUCUACUUACUUUCGUGCUCUCUACUUUCAUUCCACAAACCAACAUUUUUUCCGUAUUAAUCAUGCCAUGCUGAAAGGUAAAUGUUAUUGCUCGGGCAGAAAGGAACAUUAUUGUCAUUCUUGCUGUUGUUUGGGCACUAUAGUUCAUGCUAUAUUCUGAACUCCUUUUUUGUUCUACUCAUCUUUUGUUUUCUGUUGUGUUGCCUCAUUUAUCUACAAUAUGAAUUCUUAGACUUUGCGUUUCUUAAACAUGGUCAGGACAAUCGAUAAAAUUUAGAUGCUAAGUUUCCUUUUUCUGCAGAUUUUCUCUACAAAGCCAGCAUUGGAUGCUGGCAAAAUUGAAGAAAAACUCUCCAGGAAAUUGAAUAAAUAGUUAUUGUUGAUUUUAGUUGCUACAAGGAAAAGACUGCUGCAAAUUUUAGAACCAGUUUAUCAAUUUUGGCAGCUGUACCAGGUAUUGCUUAUUUUUAAUUGUGUAGCAUUUAGUCAGAUUUGGCUUAUUUGAUAAUGAGCAAUGAAUGAUUGUUGUAAUCGAAUAUAGCAAAUAAAUUUGCGGCGUAGCUUCAAAACUGUUAAUGUGAAGUUGUCAGGGUCUGAUUUUUAUAAUUUUGAUUCUUUCCUUAAGUUGUCGAUGGAAAACAUUGAAGCAUGUAGUUAUACCUAUUUUGUAAAUCAAAAGCUGUUAGUAACAUUUAGUCUCAAGAUAUUAUAGUCAAAAAUGCUAACUACUUAUGCCUUCAUGGUUUUUUGAUAUUCCCUCUGAUCCAUAUUAGUUGUCGCCGAAAUGAAUGUUUGUAGACGUAUUUCUAGAUACAUAAGUUUGAAGCCUGUAGUUAUACCUAUUUUGAAAAUCAAAAGCGGUUAGUAACAUUUAGACUCAAGAUAUUACGGUAAAAAAUGCUAACUAAUGACCCUUCAUGGUUUUUUGAUAUUCCCUCUGAUCCAUAUUAGUUGUCGCUGGAAUGAAUGUGUAGACGUAUUUCUAGAUACAUAAGUUCGAGGGGCAACUAAUUUGGAUCAGAGGGGGUACUAAGAGUAACAGUGACUAGCUGUUCAGUUACUCUGCACUUUAUUGUGAGUUUUACCUGAUUUGGUUCGUUUAUCAAGGCGAAUUAAACUGGUAUUAGGAGGGUAGUGCUAUAAUUACCGCAGUAGUACCGGUGCAAAGAAAUGCUUUUCUGAAAUUUAAAACACAAUUGCUCUAAAAUUUAUGGCAUACUUUGUAUUUCUGCCUCAACCUUCUCUAUACGUACAUCAAAUAUAUCUUUGCAAUUAGAUUUUUUCCUUGCAAAUCUUAAUGUAAUUCAAAAAAGGAUUAUGAAGUAUGCCAUGAUUUCUUUAUAUAAUUUGUUUGAUUAUUUCUAAUUCUAUGGCUUCCGUAAGUACCAUUUGUGUUCAGGUUUGGUAUUAGGAGGGUAAUCUCCUCGUCAUGCAAUUUUUAUUUCUUGGAAUGCAUGAUAAAGGAGUUACUUUAUUCUGAGCGUUUGUUUCUAGAUAAUAGAUUGGCUAACCAGUUGCCUAACAUUGUUGUAAAUGCGGUAACAUCAUGUUUCUUUCAUAGUACUUCCUUUGAAAGCUUUAUUCCACAAAAUUGCUUAGCAUAUUUGUAUUUUCUGUUUGGUCCCUGCUAUAAGUCAUAUGCAUCUGCCAACGCGGUGAGCCAAUUGAUAUUUUCAUGAUGGGAUAAUGCAUAUGCACCAGAAGUUUGAUGCGGACACACGUCUGGUAUGUUUUUUCUUUCUUUUUGCACAAUAUAGCGUCCUUCUGUAUUUCAUAGACUUUUGGAUUUGGAUAAAUAGUUCAAAUGCAUUUCCAGUAACACGCUUGUGAACAUUGCCACCUGCUGUAAUGUAACAUCAGAACACUUACACCAUUGCUUUGUUGUAGAUUGAGGGUCUGGUCCUUGACAAUGGUUAGCAGCACCCUGACAUUAAGCACAUGCAGAGAAAUGUAACAUCCUGAUAGCAAAUGUAUAAAGCGGGGCGAAAGCCUUUUUUUUGGUAAAUGUAACAUCCUGACAUGUAAUGUAUCACUGGUGUAUGAGAAAAGGUGUGUAGUUUUGCAUAAAUUACUUAUUCAACUUGCAAAUUCCCUUGAACUUCGAAGGAUUUGAUGUGGUGGCCAAAGUUAUACAGCCUCAUGAUACAUAUCAUCCACUCUUUGAAAUUCACAUGCAUGUUUCGCUCAAUUUAUUC
RNAcentral lists this long non-coding RNA (2251 nucleotides) under Triticum aestivum (bread wheat). Its description in RNAcentral is "long non-coding RNA (TAES_LNC027639)". Lineage: Eukaryota; Viridiplantae; Streptophyta; Magnoliopsida; Poales; Poaceae. The record is from RNAcentral.